AUACGGAGGAUGCGAGCGUUAUCCGGAUUUAUUAGGUUUAAAGGGUGUGUAGGCGGUAUUUUAAGUCAGUGGUGAAAUCUUUCAGCUUAACUGAGAAACUGCCAUUGAUACUGGAAUACUUGAGUAUAUUUGAGGUAGGCGGAAUAUGUAAUGUAGCAGUGAAAUGCAUAGAUAUUACAUAGAACACCGAUUGCGAAGGCAGCUUACUAAACUAUUACUGACGCUGAUGCACGAAAGCGUGGGGAGCGAACAGUAUUAGAAACCCCAGUAGUCC
RNAcentral lists this ribosomal RNA (274 nucleotides) under uncultured bacterium. RNAcentral describes it as "partial 16S ribosomal RNA". It matches the Rfam family "Bacterial small subunit ribosomal RNA", at positions 523 to 796 of the family's 1533-position model. The record is from RNAcentral.